UUUUCUUUUUGCUGUUGGCCAGGAAUCACUUUCAGCUCCUACAAGCCUCCCUCUGGUCCCAGCAAUGAGGCCUUUCAUGGCAGUUCACAACAUGGCGGUUUGCUUUCUCUCCAUCUGUUUUAAAGACUCAGCGGAUCAGGUCAGGCUCGCCCAGGACAAUAUCCUUUUUGAGAAAUCCAAAGUCAACUAAUUAGGUCUUCCUGCUACCUCUGUGUGUAACCUUUCCUUCAGGACUCUAGGGGAACAACACUUCCUAUAAUUGCUCACUUAUGAAGAACAAACUGUUUAUUCCAUGUAUUUGGGGUGAUUUGAAUAAACUUUUGCACAACGUUUUUAAACCAACGGAGGCCUGGGCUUUGACACACAAGACUGGCGGCUCGGCUGCAUUGUGUGCUCACUUCCUGGUUCCUGGUGGCAUUCUGUGUAUUUGUGGCUGCUGAAUAAGGGACUCAGAGUAAAACUGGGGGUUUCUGUACUGGCUUCCUCCCUUGAAACCAAGAUUCUCUCCCUUCAGAACUCAACUGUUCUAUUGCUGGUCUGCAGGGACCCAGUGUUCUACUUGCUGCAGGGGUCUAAGACUUGGUGCUGCGUUGUGCCCAAACAUGUGCUUCAUAAAUGCCAUUUUGCCCCAUAAUUCACCUCGAGUUUUUAUUUAAAUAUUUAAUGAUGCACAAAUUGGUGUAAGUGCCUCCUUAGGGAAUCUUGGGAAAGUACAGGGAUGUAAUCAAAUGGUUUGCAAAUUGUACUUAUUUAUUUAUAACUCUAAUUUGAAAAG
Non-coding RNA from Callorhinus ursinus (northern fur seal), 775 nucleotides. NCBI's taxonomy places the organism in Eukaryota, Metazoa, Chordata, Mammalia, Carnivora, Otariidae. The record is from RefSeq and is a predicted model, not a curated record.